RNAcentral lists this ribosomal RNA (381 nucleotides) under uncultured soil bacterium. RNAcentral's name for it is "bacterial SSU rRNA". It matches the Rfam family "Bacterial small subunit ribosomal RNA", at positions 26 to 409 of the family's 1533-position model. The record is from RNAcentral.
AGGACGAACGCUGGCGGCGUGCUUAACACAUGCAAGUCGAGCGGUAAGGCCCUUUCGGGGGUACACGAGCGGCGAACGGGUGAGUAACACGUGAGCAAUCUGCCCUUCACUUCGGGAUAAGCCUCGGAAACGGGGUCUAAUACCGGAUAUGACUGCGCCAUGCAUGUGGUGUGGUGGAAAGUUCUGGCGGUGAGGGAUGAGCUCGCGGCCUAUCAGCUUGUUGGUGGGGUAAUGGCCUACCAAGGCUUCGACGGGUAGCCGGCCUGAGAGGGUGACCGGCCACGACUGGGACUGAGACACGGCCAGACUCCUACGGGAGGCAGCAGUGGGGAAUAUUGGACAAUGGGCGAAAGCCUGAUCCAGCAACGCCGCGUGGAGGGA